UACGUAGGGGGCUAGCGUUGUCCGGAAUCAUUGGGCGUAAAGCGCGCGUAGGCGGUCCGGUAAGUCCGCUGUGAAAGUCGGGGGCUCAACCCUCGAAUGCCGGUGGAUACUGUCGGGCUAGAGUGCGGAAGAGGCGAGUGGAAUUCCUGGUGUAGCGGUGAAAUGCGCAGAUAUCAGGAGGAACACCAAUUGCGAAGGCAGCUCGCUGGGACGUUACUGACGCUGAGACGCGAAAGCGUGGGGAGCAAACAGG
This 253-nucleotide ribosomal RNA is filed under the name uncultured bacterium. RNAcentral describes it as "partial 16S ribosomal RNA". It matches the Rfam family "Bacterial small subunit ribosomal RNA", at positions 524 to 776 of the family's 1533-position model. The record is from RNAcentral.